GACGAACGCUGGCGGCGUGCUUAACACAUGCAAGUCGAACGGAAAGGCCCUGCUUGCAGGGUACUCGAGUGGCGAACGGGUGAGUAACACGCGGGUGAUCUGCCCUGCACUUCGGGAUAAGCCUGGGAAACUGGGUCUAAUACCGGAUAGGAGCCAUUUUUCGUGUGAUGGUUGGAAAGUUUUUUCGGUGUAGGAUGAGCUCGCGGCCUAUCAGCUUGUUGGUGGGGUAAUGGCCUACCAAGGCGGCGGAGGGUAGCCGGCCUGAGGGGGUGGACGGCCAAAUUGGGACUGAGAUACGGCCCAGACUCCUACGGGAGGCAGCAGGGGGGAAUAUUGCACAAUGGGCGCAAGCCUGAUGCAGCGACGCCGCGUGGGGGAUGACGGCCUUCGGGUUGUAAACUCCUUUCGCUAGGGACGAAGCUUUUUGUGACGGUACCUAGAUAAGAAGCACCGGCUAACUACGUG
This 465-nucleotide ribosomal RNA is filed under the name uncultured bacterium. RNAcentral's name for it is "partial 16S ribosomal RNA". It matches the Rfam family "Bacterial small subunit ribosomal RNA", at positions 28 to 507 of the family's 1533-position model. The record is from RNAcentral.